Molecule: transfer RNA, 96 nt
Filed under: Pyrenochaeta sp. DS3sAY3a
Lineage: Eukaryota; Fungi; Ascomycota; Dothideomycetes; Pleosporales; Cucurbitariaceae
Rfam family: tRNA
About the family: Transfer RNA (tRNA) molecules are approximately 80 nucleotides in length. Their secondary structure includes four short double-helical elements and three loops (D, anti-codon, and T loops).
Source: Rfam by way of RNAcentral
UCCGAUAUGGUCUAGUGGCUAGGAUUUGCCGCUCUCAUCGAGAGUAAACACCUCACCAGUGCCGGCAAGGCCCGGGUUCGAUUCCCGGUGUCGGAA